Molecule: long non-coding RNA, 1826 nt
Organism: Stegostoma tigrinum
Lineage: Eukaryota; Metazoa; Chordata; Chondrichthyes; Orectolobiformes; Stegostomatidae
Exons: 10
Source: RefSeq, a predicted model, not a curated record
CUGCAUCCCAAAACCAGUCCAACCUGUCUCUGCCUCCCUAACCUGUUCUUCCUCUCAGCCAUCCCUUCCUCCCACCCCAAGCCGCACCCCCAGCUACCUACUAACCUCAUCCCACCUCCUUGACCUGUCCGUCUUCCCUGGACUGACCUUUUCUCUCCUCUCCACCUUCGGUCCGCCUCCCCCUCUCUCCCUAUUUAUUCCAGUUCCCUCUCCCCGUCCCCCUCUCUGAUGAAGGGUCUAGGCCCGAAACGUCAGCUUUUGUGCUCCUGAGAUACUGCUUGGCCUGCUGUGCUCAUCCAGCCUCACAUUUUAUUAUUUUAGGAGAGAGAGCUGUUUUGGUUUGUGAUACAAGAGACGAGGCUGUCUAUGCCUUUCACCCAUCGGUAGCUCUCCUCCUGUCCCUGCCUCUAUGCACACACUCUGCCAGGCAUAGUCUUCCUCCCUCUGUGUGUGUGUCUCUCUCUCGCUUCAGCUCCUAAAAGCUAAGAUGCAUCGGAUAUAAAAACACGCACAUAAACACACACACACACAUCAACAAGCCAUGGAGAAAGAUCAGGAAUUACUGCAAGCUGUCAAAACCGAAGAUGUAGCUGCAAUGCAGAAGCUGUUGCAAAGGCCGAAACAAGGCAAAGCGAGACACAAUCAUCGCCUUGGAAGCUUAAUCACGAUACUACCUUGCAUUUCUGAAGAGGGAAGAAGAAAUCAACAUGAAAAUUCAAUUCCAUGGUUUUGGAAGUCCCAUUGAGAACACGAUUCAUUUGCGCCGGCAUAAUGCUCUGACCGAGAAAGAAUUGAAGUUUCCACUUGGAAGAAAGAUUCACAUCAAAUUGACUGGUCAAGGAAAUGGGACACUGACUAACCAUACGAUUAGACUGUUUUGAUGAGAAAUUUAAAGAUUACGUGUCCCAUCCGUUUGACUCACAGUUUGGUACCAUAGGUUGGUACGAUCUUCGUUGGAGAAGGAAAAGGGAUGUUCCAGAUACAGAAAACCGUCAAACCAUUUACAACAAAGUCCAUUUCUGAACCAUACGAUGAGACUGUUUUGAUGAGGAAUUGAAAGAUUAUGUGUCCCAUCCAUUUGACUCACAGUUUGGUACCAUAGGUUGGUACGAUCUUCGUUGGAGAAGGAAAAGGGAUGUUCCAGAUACAGAAAAUCGUCAAACCAUUUACGACAAAGUCCGUUUCUGGGUGGAGUUAGUGGAACCGAAAAAGAUGUCUCCCUCACAGCGUUUGUGACAAAAGAAUUGCAUCGUUCCUUGGCGGCCUUUCAACAGAAGAAUAUUUAGAGAUUUCCCGAGUGGACACAAUCAUUGCCUUGGAAGCUUCAUCAUGAUACGACAUUGCAUUUCUGAAGAGGGAAGAAGAAAUCAACAUGCAAAUUCAAUUCCAUGGUUUUGGAAGUCCCAUUGAGAACACAAUUCAUGUGCGCUGGCACAAUGCUCUGACCGAGAAAGAAUCGAAGCUUCCGCUUGGAAGAAAGAUUCACAUCAAGUUGACUGGUCAAGUAAAUGGGACACUGACUAACCAUACAAUUAGUCUGUUUUGAUGAGGAACUUAAAGAUUACGAGUCCCGUCCGUUUGACUCAGAGUUUGGUACCAUAGGUUGGUACGAUCUUCGUUGGAGAAGGAAAAGGGAUGUUCCAGAUACAGAAAAUAGUCAAACCAUUUACUACAAAGUCCGUUUCUGGACACAAUCAUCGCCUUGGAAGCUUCAUCACGAUACUACUUUGCAUUUCUGAAGAGGGAAGAAGAAAUCAACAUGCAAAUUCAAUUCCAUGGUUUUGGAAGUCCCUUUGAGAACACGAUUCAUUUGCGCCGGCAUAAUG